Molecule: ribosomal RNA, 505 nt
Filed under: uncultured bacterium
Lineage: Bacteria
Description: partial 16S ribosomal RNA
Rfam family: Bacterial small subunit ribosomal RNA
Source: RNAcentral
GACGAACGCUGGCGGCGUGCCUAAUACAUGCAAGUAGAACGCACAGUUUAUACCGUAGCUUGCUACACCAUAGACUGUGAGUUGCGAACGGGUGAGUAACGCGUAGGUAACCUGCCUGGUAGCGGGGGAUAACUAUUGGAAACGAUAGCUAAUACCGCAUAAUAUUAAUUAUUGCAUGAUAAUUAAUUGAAAGGUGCAAUUGCACCACUACCAGAUGGACCUGCGUUGUAUUAGCUAGUAGGUGAGGUAACGGCUCUCCUAGGCGACGAUACAUAGCCGACCGGAGAGGGUGAUCGGCCACACUGGGACUGAGACACGGCCCAGACUCCUACGGGAGGCAGCAGUAGGGAAUCUUCGGCAAUGGACGAAAGUCUGACCGAGCAACGCCGCGUGAGUGAAGAAGGUUUUCGGAUCGUAAAGCUCCGUUGUAAGAGAAGAACGGGUGUGAGAGUGGAAAGUUCACACUGUGACGGUAUCUUACCAGAAAGGGACGGCUAACUACGUG